GAAGAAAGAGCUAAUAUCUAGUGGGCUCAGGAAAAACUUCCCUUAGAAGGUAGUCUGAAAUGAACUUUGAAGAAUGAUCUGGAUUCUAAAACAAGAAGAUGACACAUCCAUUCUACCUGUUGCUUCUGCAAACUUCAAGGAAAUAACAGGUACCUAUUCCUAAUUAUCUGUAUGCUUUAUG
This 181-nucleotide long non-coding RNA is filed under the name Monodelphis domestica (gray short-tailed opossum). RNAcentral's name for it is "lncRNA (ENSMODG00000040927.1)". Lineage: Eukaryota; Metazoa; Chordata; Mammalia; Didelphimorphia; Didelphidae. The record is from RNAcentral.